Molecule: long non-coding RNA, 684 nt
Organism: Triticum urartu
Lineage: Eukaryota; Viridiplantae; Streptophyta; Magnoliopsida; Poales; Poaceae
Source: RefSeq, a predicted model, not a curated record
UUUCACUGGGUUUUCACCCACGUCUCCCCACCCGUGGAACAAAACCAGUCGUCUCAGUCUUCUCGGCUCGAAAGAAAAAGGAGGAGCGGGCGAGAGCGGCGGCGGUGCCGACGCCGACAGGGAAGAACUAGGCGACGGCGAGGGGACGGAGAGGGCGAUCUCUCUCCUCCACUGAAGACCGGGUGCUGCGCCAUCCUUCUACCUCGCCCCCACUCUCCCCAAGUCAGCAGCCGAUCUGCGACCCUCUUCUUCCAUCCCCGGCGCGAGCUCGGCGGCCGCACCAACCUACUCCGGUGGCCCUCCCCAACGUUUCUAUGCCGGCCAGCUUCACCGCCUCACAGCCGCAGCAAGACCCCGCUUGGGGCAGCAUCGUGAAGACUAAGUGCAUCAAUCACUACGGAAGCGACAUCGGCGAGAUUACAGUCGUUUGUUCUAUACAGCAAUAAUUUGAUCAUGGUCGGAAAUAUAAUAAUAUUGUACAUCGGUGAUUGUUGAUUAGGGUCGUUUUUUGACUUCUAAAUAUUCAGAAUUCAUGUUAUAGUUUGAUAUUUUUUCUUCUAAAAUAUCAACUUGCAGCAAGCUUCUCAUAUAAUGUUUUGUUCUGACGCAACAAAAAUACUGUUAUGCGGAUUUGGUGCUUGGAUGUAUGAAAUUUAUAGCAAGUUUGUUGUGUGUGUGAUGUUC